AGAGUUUGAUCAUGGCUCAGGAUGAACGCUAGCGGCAGGCUUAAUACAUGCAAGUCGUGGGGCAGCAGGUCUGUAGCAAUACAGAUGCUGGCGACCGGCAAACGGGUGCGGAACACGUACGCAACCUUCCUUCAAGUGGGGAAUAGCCCGGCGAAAGCCGGAUUAAUACCCCGUAAUAUAAUGAGGCGGCAUCACCUUAUUAUUAUAGCAGCAAUGCGCUUGAUGAUGGGCGUGCGCCUGAUUAGGUAGUUGGCGGGGUAACGGCCCACCAAGCCUACGAUCAGUAACUGGUGUGAGAGCACGACCAGUCACACGGGCACUGAGACACGGGCCCGACUCCUACGGGAGGCAGCAGUAAGGAAUAUUGGUCAAUGGACGAAAGUCUGAACCAGCCAUGCCGCGUGGAGGAUGAAGGUCCUCUGGAUUGUAAACUUCUUUUAUCUGAGAAGAAACCCAGGAAUUCUUUCCUGGCUGACGGUACCAGAUGAAUAAGCACCGGCUAACUCCGUGCCAGCAGCGGCGGUAAUAC
Molecule: ribosomal RNA, 529 nt
Filed under: uncultured bacterium
Lineage: Bacteria
Description: bacterial SSU rRNA
Rfam family: Bacterial small subunit ribosomal RNA
Source: RNAcentral